This 252-nucleotide ribosomal RNA is filed under the name uncultured Bacteroidales bacterium. Its description in RNAcentral is "partial 16S ribosomal RNA". It matches the Rfam family "Bacterial small subunit ribosomal RNA", at positions 524 to 776 of the family's 1533-position model. The record is from RNAcentral. Lineage: Bacteria; Pseudomonadati; Bacteroidota; Bacteroidia; Bacteroidales.
UACGGGGGAUGCAAGCGUUAUCCGGAUUUAUUGGGUUUAAAGGGUGCGUAGGCGGGACCUUAAGUCAGCGGUAAAAGCCCGGGGCUCAACCCCGGCGAGCCGUUGAAACUGGCAGCCUUGAGUGAGCGAGAAGUAUGCGGAAUGCGUGGUGUAGCGGUGAAAUGCUUAGAUAUCACACAGAACACCGAUUGCGAAGGCAGCUUUCCAAGCUAUUACUGACGCUGAGGCACGAAAGCGUGGGGAGCGAACAGG